This 432-nucleotide long non-coding RNA is filed under the name Homo sapiens (human). RNAcentral describes it as "non-protein coding lnc-CSN2-1:1". The record is from RNAcentral. Lineage: Eukaryota; Metazoa; Chordata; Mammalia; Primates; Hominidae.
GCACAUAAUAAGAUUUUUAAUAACUAUCUGUGUUCAUGCUUGAUGGAGUCAAUACAGUCUAUGAGGUAGAAGGAGAAAUUGUUUCCAAAGUAAAGUAGGAGCAGUUAAUUCAAGAAUCUUAAAGAUCCCAGAGUGGGGAUAACUUGGUAAGCAUUUGUCUUCAUGUUUUUCCAUGGUUUCAUAAUUUUGUGAUAUUGAUAAACAGCUUUUACAUAUUGGGGCAAGGUGAACUGAUAAUACUGGUUGAUUUUGUUCAGAUGUUUUUGGUCAUUCUUUUCUUCUUCAGUCAGCUCAGUUUUCUUGGUGAAUACUUCAGUUGAUUCCAUAUCAACAGUCUUUUUUGGUGUUUCUUUCUGAGAGAUGCCGGCAGUUUUCCUCCUGCUGUCCUGCGUGGUUCCUAACAGGCCAAGGACCGGUACCGGUACCCCCUGU